GAUUAUUGAGGGUAGAACAGGCAGCUACCGCACCCUUUGGGUAUAAAGAGAUGUGGGACACGCCGCCCCACCAGUAUUC
This 79-nucleotide non-coding RNA is filed under the name unclassified sequences. The record is from Rfam.